CAGUGUGAUGAAAAACAGGGGAAGUUGAAGCAGAUUGUACGGAAAAUGAUGAUCCAUAAGGUCUCCCUGCAUUGUCUGAAA
This is a small nucleolar RNA of Macadamia integrifolia, 81 nucleotides long. Lineage: Eukaryota; Viridiplantae; Streptophyta; Magnoliopsida; Proteales; Proteaceae. The record is from RefSeq and is a predicted model, not a curated record.